RNAcentral lists this ribosomal RNA (640 nucleotides) under uncultured bacterium. RNAcentral's name for it is "bacterial SSU rRNA". It matches the Rfam family "Bacterial small subunit ribosomal RNA", at positions 153 to 788 of the family's 1533-position model. The record is from RNAcentral.
GAAAGCUGUGCUAAUACCGCAUACGAUCUAUGGAUGAAAGCGGGGGACCGAAAGGCCUCGCGCGAUUGGAGCGGCCGAUGUCAGAUUAGCUAGUUGGUGGGGUAAAGGCCCACCAAGGCGACGAUCUGUAGCUGGUCUGAGAGGACGACCAGCCACACUGGGACUGAGACACGGCCCAGACUCCUACGGGAGGCAGCAGUGGGGAAUUUUGGACAAUGGGCGCAAGCCUGAUCCAGCAAUGCCGCGUGCAGGAAGAAGGCCUUCGGGUUGUAAACUGCUUUUGUACGGAACGAAACGGUCCGGGUUAAUACCCUGGGCUAAUGACGGUACCGUAAGAAUAAGCACCGGCUAACUACGUGCCAGCAGCCGCGGUAAUACGUAGGGUGCAAGCGUUAAUCGGAAUUACUGGGCGUAAAGCGUGCGCAGGCGGUUUUGUAAGACAGGCGUGAAAUCCCCGGGCUCAACCUGGGAAUGGCGCUUGUGACUGUGAAACUGGAGUGCGGCAGAGGGGGAUGGAAUUCCGCGUGUAGCAGUGAAAUGCGUAGAUAUGCGGAGGAACACCGAUGGCGAAGGCAAUCCCCUGGGCCUGCACUGACGCUCAUGCACGAAAGCGUGGGGAGCAAACAGGAUUAGAUACCCU